UACAGAGGGUGCAAGCGUUAAUCGGAUUUACUGGGCGUAAAGGGCGUGUAGGCGGGCAGGUAAGUCGGGCGUGAAAUCCCUGGGCUCAACCCAGGAACUGCACUCGAAACUACUUGUCUUGAGUGUCGGAGAGGAAAGCGGAAUUCCUGGUGUAGAGGUGAAAUUCGUAGAUAUCAGGAGGAACACCAGUGGCGAAGGCGGCAUCCUGGACUGGUCCUGACACUCAGGAGCGAAAGCGUGGGGAGCGAGUCCGG
This 254-nucleotide ribosomal RNA is filed under the name uncultured bacterium. Its description in RNAcentral is "partial 16S ribosomal RNA". It matches the Rfam family "Bacterial small subunit ribosomal RNA", at positions 524 to 777 of the family's 1533-position model. The record is from RNAcentral.